AGUUGAUCCUGCUGGAGAUUACGGCUCUCUGGUUUGUCCUAAGACAUGCAAGUCAUUUUUUUGAUUCUUCGGAAUUAGGGAAAGGCGAACUGCUCAGUAACACGUAGCUAACCUACACUUAAGUCAAGGAUACCCUCGGGAAACUGAGGCUAAUACUUGAUGGAAGACUUACCCUGGAAAGAUUUGUCUUUUAAACUCGUGCUUAAGAAUGGGGCUGCGGCGGAUUAGGUUGUUGGCGGGGUAAUAGCCCACCAAGCCGACGAUCCGUAAGGGCUCUUAGCGGAGGGGCCCUGAGAGGGAAUCUGAGACACUAUUCCCAGCCUUACGGGGUGCAGCAGUUAAGUAUAAUCUACAAUGCGCGAAAGCGUGAUAGUUUGAGCCAGAGUGCUAUUCUUUUGAAUAGCUUUUAUUGAAUGUAAAAAGUUCAACGAAUAAGGACUGGGUAAGACAGGUGCCAGCCGCCGCGGUAAUACCUGCGGUCCAAGUCGUAAUCACUUUUAUUAGGUCUAAAACAUCCGUAGCUUGCUUUGUAAGUCCCUUGUGAAAUCCGGUAUCUUAAGUAUCGGGCGGGCAGGGGAUACUGCAUAGCUAGAGACUGGAAGACGUAAGAAGUAUGUUUGGAGUAGCGGUCAAAUGUGUUAAUCCCAAGCAGACUCACAACAGCGAAGGCAUCUUACGAGGACAGUUCUGACAGUAAGGGAUGAAGGCUAGGGGCGCAAAAGGGAUUAGAUACCCCUGUAGUCCUAGCAGUAAACACUGCACACUAAACAUUAGUACCUCCUCGAGAGGUAUUGGUGCUGUAGGGAAGCCGAAGAGUGUGCUACCUGGGAAGUAUAGUCGCAAGGCUGAAACUUAAAGGAAUUGGCGGCGAGACACUACAACGAGUGACGCGUGCGGUUCAAUUAGAUUAUACACCGUGAACCUCACCAGGAGCGACAGCAGAAUGAAGGUCAGUCUGAAGGGCUUACCUGACACGCUGAGAGGGGUAGCAUGGCCGACGUCAGCCUGUGUUGUGAGAUGACCUGUUAAAUCAGGUAACAGGCGAGACCCACAUGCAUAUUUAAAUUCUAUAUGCAGAUUGCCAUUGUAAAAUGGAUGAAAGUGUGGGCUACGUUAGGUGGGUACGGCCCUAAUCCCCUGGGCUACACGCGCGCGUCAAUGGCGAAUACAAUGGGAUGCAACUCCGAAAGGAGAAGCUAAUCUCUUAAAAUUCGUCUUAGUUCAGGUUGAGGUUUGUAACUCAGCCUCAUGACGCUGGAAUUCGUAGUAAUCGGAUUUUAUCAGAGUCCGGUGAAUCUGUCCCUGUCUCGUGUACACACUGCCCGUCAAACCAACCAAGUUUAGUUAUGGUGAAACUUUUCGAAGGAGAACUUUGGCUAGACAAGGUAGGUUAAGUCGGCACAAGGUA
RNAcentral lists this ribosomal RNA (1408 nucleotides) under metagenome. Its description in RNAcentral is "bacterial SSU rRNA". It matches the Rfam family "Archaeal small subunit ribosomal RNA". The record is from RNAcentral.